This is a non-coding RNA of Phasianus colchicus (ring-necked pheasant), 19970 nucleotides long. The record is from RefSeq and is a predicted model, not a curated record. NCBI's taxonomy places the organism in Eukaryota, Metazoa, Chordata, Aves, Galliformes, Phasianidae.
GUCAGUCGUGGCGGAGGCGAACGGCGCCGGGCUGAGAGGUUCUGUGGAGGGAAGAGCUGUGUGUGUGCUGAGCGGCCGUGUGAAAACGCCCAUCGUGAAGGAUGCUUGGGAGACAGGUGCUGCCCGAGCUCAGGGCAAUAUUAAUCCCCUAUGAAUAAAAAGGAAUCGAAUACAAAGAAAAGGAAAUAACAGAUCAGGCCGCUUUGUGCAGAGGAGGUCUGUUCCUCCUUCAGAAAAGAGCAGUUCUGAGGACACGGUUCCCCUUGUCGCACACCCUGGGUACCGCAGUGCUCGUGAGGUGUCUGUCACAAAUCCGUCUUCUGCAUCAACUGCCACCCAACCGAAGGGAGAAGGAAGUCGGGCCUCGUGGCCCCCUCAUUUAAGGCUUAGAGUACAUAACGUGAGCCUAGAGAAACCCACAGAUCAGAAACCCAUAAAUUCAGAACUUCCAAAUCACUAUACAAGCGAUAAGUGGGCUGAGUGACUGAACUUUGCCUCCUUCACAAAUUCGGCAGAGCAAAGAUAGCAUUUGCUAAUAUUCUUCACCUUACUGCUGCAUAAAUAGAUGAUACUGCCAAGCUUUGCAGCAUGCGCUCAUAAAAAGAGGAAACAGAAGGUGCUAUGGUGUUUGUUAAGGACUUGCCCUUAACGUUUUCCAAGGGUCAUUAACUUCGAUGGGUCAGAGUCCAAGCUGAAUUUUCUUCUGGGGCUCAAAACCUCGUGGAAUAAAAAAGACUGGUGAGAAUCCAUCCUUGCAGGCUGUUGCUGGUGGAAUUAUGAAUUGUAUCAGAGGCAGUCGCUAGGUUUUUUCACUGGUAGGGAAGAGCCAGAAAGGACAGGCUGUCAGAAGGAGGCAGCGGGGUUUCUCUGCAAGGGCUCAAUCAGUAAGGUAAUCUUGGCAUUUUUAUUUAAAAAUAAAUUUGUCUGGCGAUGUUUUCUUUGGAUUUGUUUGAUUCAUUUUUUCCUAUCAUAGCAGAACCUCUCAAAUGUUGCUGAAAGCAGGAGUUGAAAUGGACUGUACUGUGAAACAGCAAAACACUUCCCUCAAUGCUGUAAUUCUGCCCUUGCACGUUCAUUAACAACAUUUGGUACCAGUAAUUAAGCACUUUGUCUCUCAGAAGAUCUACACUUAACACACAGGAGUGAAAAUGUAAACAAAGGCAUAUUGUUGUGGCUCCUCUCCCACUCAGCCAUGAGCCUCGUGGGCCAGUUAAUCCAGUUUUAUGGCCAGGUUAUACCAGCACUGCAGCACACAGUGGCUGCACCGUGACAGAUAAAGAUACAGAGAAAAGGCCGGGGCUAGAUUAAGGCUCUGCACAGCUCUAAUCCUGCCUACGCUGAAUAUUCUCUUCCAUAUCUUCUCAUCUUACCCGCAGACUCUACUCAGUCCCACACACUGCUUCCCAGUCACCUGCAGAAGCUGCUUCUCUUCAGGGAGCAUAUGCUCCAUUUCCACACCUGGCUUAGUCCUUGCUCUCACGCAGCCUCUGCAUGCUUCACCCACAGCCGCAGAAGAAAUGCUGUCUGAAAAUAAAUAGUUACUGUUUUGUCUGCUUGCUGCUGACCUGCUCUGUGUUUUCUGAUCGACUGGCUGUAAGGAAAACUUCAUUUGGCCACAUAUCUGCUCUCCCUCUCUCUUUAAAGAUUGCCCUGGGUCUCCACAUCCUCUUCCCCAGUUUGGUUUGAAUGCAUCUCAAUCUCUUGCCUUCCCCAAGGUGUCGUACAUCCCUGUGGCUAUGUACCCAGGAAAGCUGGCCAAAUCACUUCUGAUGAAUAAUUGAUCGGGUAAAUUUUGCCUCUAUUUCAGUUGUGAGUUGUCUGCAAACAGACUGUGAUUUCUGCAAACUUAUUAUUUGAUGUUAUUUGCCACAUAAUGCCCAGCCAGCUCCGUAUUCAUGAGCAACUUGCUGGAAAUAUUUGAAAUUUGAGAUAAUUGGACACCGGGAUGAUAUGAAGCUUAGUCCUACAAGCAGCUGAGCUCUCCAGAUUCAUUUCACAAAAAGACUGAGGUGCAAUGCUUGCAGUUGUUUGGCUGCAGCCAGCAAGGCUGCAGUUACAAGCGUGCUUACAUGCUUUGCUGAGGCGGGGCUCAAAGCAUUGAGCAUCUUGUGGGACACCCUGUUUCUGUUGUCUGACCGCGCUCGUCUGUUUCAUAAAAUUGUUUCCUUCAGGGAUUUUGCUUUAGAAAUGCUUUCUCGCAGUGAAAAACAAUACCACAUUCAAAAUUAACACACCUGCAAAGGAAAGAAAUAGUAUUUCAGGAUCUUUUAAAGCUCUGCAAUAAAUCUCUGUCAUUCCGAUUUUGAUUCAGAUAUCUCCUAAUUCACAGCCCCACUAGGCCAUAUUGCCUCCUCAAUUUCAGAUGUUGUGCCAGAAUUAAUUCAGUGCUGUUGCAGAGACAAAUAUAUAUAUAUAUUAAAAAAAUCAGGUCUGGAGGCAGGGCACAAAAGAGUGACAGUUUAAGGUGGGGAGGCAGGGACAAAAGAAUCCCAGUAUUUAAGGGACUGGGAAGGAAGGAGCCUUUUCACCGCACAACUGCAGUGCAUAGAGAAAUUAAGAACAAACUUAUCUGCUCCUCUCCAGCUCCAGCUCCACUGCACCACUCAGAUCCGAAUCCCUGACGCUGCAUUUCUCACACAAUGUCUCUUCUCUCCAUCAUUUUUUCUUCACAUCAGAUUUCUCUCCUUUCCAGGGAGGUCCUGUUUCUGGACUGAUGUUUGCUUCACCUUUCUUUUCUGUUUCCAUAUUCCUCCUUUAUACUGCAUCAGAGACUUCUUCCUCAGAACAGCCUGUUUUGCCCCAUAGGUUUUCAAGCAUAACUCCCCAGAACCUCUCCAUUCCUUUCGCUUUCAGACUGCUCAGAUUGUGUCACCUUUAGUCCAACUUGUCUGUAUGGCUCUGCUUACUGCUUUUCGUAUGUAAUACACUUUUGUACAAAGAGACCAACAGCCUCUCUGCUGCAGUCUCCGUUAUAGAGGUUACAGUCUCAUUUUUAACUCGAUGCAGAGAUGAACAUCAAAAGACAGCCCAUGUCUCAAAAAGCUCGCAAUUUGGAGAGAUGGCAGGCAAAGAAUGAGGGAAAAUAGGAUUAGCAGCUCCUUGAUCGGGGAGAAUGCAAGGGUCAUGCACAGUUCCUACAGUGUCACAAUGGAGAUGCUAGGACCUCAGCUAGUGUGGGGGUAAACUGGGGCUGUGCAAUCCACUCCUUUCAACACACUGCUGUUUCACCUUUCUCCCUGAUGUUGCUCCCCAUCCUGAUCCUCGGCAUGAAGGGGACAGCCCACACUCGCACACUGGUGCUCCUUCCAGUGCUCUGCCCACUCCUUCCCACACACCUUGUAAGUGGUGAGCACCAAGAGCAGAAGGAGAGCAGAUUGCCCAUUGCACAUACAGGCUCCUGUUUUCCACUACACACUCCUCUGGCUUCCUUCAAGCAAGCUGCUUUCCGGCUCUGGUUCUGUCCCUUUCUUGUUGCCUUUGGACUGGGGAAAGGAUGACCCCAAACCUCUUAUUUCUGAGUGUCGUGGCUGGCCUUGUGGAUCUCCCAGCUAAUGAGAGGGAAGUUGUGCCAUCUUACAAGGCUCUGCUCCUCCCAGCUGCUCGCUAACUGCUUUUUUGGACAUGGAGCACAAUUGAAACAUGAUUUUCAUUUUCAUAUUUGUAAAAAAACGGUAAUUCAGAACCUUCACAUAUCCUCAGGAAAGGGAGAGGUGAUCACUAGGAGAACACUUAUCUUUUCAGGUGGGUUUUUCAGUCUGUUUAGCACCCUCUGCCACUUCGGCUACACUUCGUUUCUCUAGAUUAAUCUUUUAUAUACAUUUCAAUGGUUUUCAUCAAUGCAGCCUUUAAGCGCCUUCCAAUUUUAAUAAGUUACAUCUAACCAAUGACCACUUAGGUGGUUCAGGAAGUUAUUGCCAUGCCUUCUUAGCAAUGGCAAAUCAAGGCAGAGAAACUCAGUAAUACAUCCUCAGUUAUUUAUGCAGCAGGUAGGUAAAACAGGCAAACUAUGCCCUGAGCCAAGGACCAUGCUAAGCUCGCAGAGAUCCACAGCCUGACCCUCCUUCUGCAGAGGGACCACAAUGGGCUCCUGAAGCUUGAUUCAGAGCUCCUGAGAGUGGGAUUUGCCAUUGCCUGAUCCAAGUAGCUGUUCAAGACUGCCACGGUGAGUUUCUCUUCCCCUUUUACUACAAAGGAACACUGAAAAUAUGCACUGUUAGCAUUUUGGGGAUUGUUAGCUAACACUGGGGAAGCGCUCACAUAUUAGAGAGAGCGAGGCUGCAGUCUGGCAGACCCCAUCCAGAUGGACAAACCAUGUUUUGCACCUGUAAGAAAAUGAGGGCCACGUUGUUUCAGCCAGCCUCAUAGUGCACUGUCUGCUGUAGACCUCAGGAGUGCUCUGGGGAUGCUUUUACACGAGGAACCAAAUUGGUUUUGACCUCAGUGAAGAGGGGGCCAAGAGGGACGCAUCUGACACCUUUUAGCAACCACAAGGUUUUCUGUCAAGUAGACACAGCCCGCGAGACAAACUCACAGCUGGAGUUGGGGUGCUUUUGAAAACAUUGUCUUUAUUCUCUACCUCCCUUUCUUCCAGGACAGGCGCUUUGCUUAUUCCCUCUUCAGAAAGGACUUUUCUGGCACACAGCCUAGCCUGGCUGGAGAUUAGGGAUUCUCUCUGCCCCUUCAUCCUUGAAUAUUUCCUUUUAAUUUCACAGUUUAAAUUCCAAUUGUGUAAUUACAUUCUGCCUACCCUGAAUUCCUCUGUAAUUUCAAUUGGACACGGUGUCCUUCACUCUCUAGUUUGAACUCUCACAGUGCUGUGGGGCACUGUUAAGAGGCUGCCACGCUCCACUCUGGUCCCAUUUCAUGUAUAUGGAGAAAGAGAAUGGGCCUAGAUCCCUUUGAACUGAAACUGCUGCUCCGUAUAGAGGAGACAGGGGUUGCUGUAGAGUGACAAGGCAGUCUUGCCCCACGGCAAUACAUUGGGCGUUUCUUACAAUGCCUCGGCCUGAACGAAUUUUUGGAGUAAAAGCCUGUCUGGAGGUAUUUCUCCCCCACAGUACAUACCCUUUAAUCUCAAGUAAAGCUGUACGGAGACCCCCAAACCACUACUUUGCUGAAUUUAUGUGGCUUGAGAGUACCUGCUUGCACCAUUUAACAUGGCAGAAAUGCCAUAGUGAUUUAAUUUAGGUCUAGGGAGUUGUGUAGCAAUACAAGGGCAGGUAGCACAGAUGCCUAGUUCAGUAAAAUGCUUUCCAAAAACGAGCAAAUCCCAAGCAUUUUAUGACCCAACCCCAGUAUUUCCUGCUGAUGUUGUCCUGCCAGCAUUUUCCCUCAAUCCCUGCCCUGGUAACAGUCACUGGAGUCCCACAUCCCGAUUUGUUUCCUUGUGACAUCUUACAUCUCCAAAUAUUUCCACUUCUCCUGCCACUUUUCCUGUGGCACAGCUACUCACCGUGUCAGUGUGCCUGCAUGCUGCCCCUCAGGUGUCAGAGAUUCACCUUCCACAUUUCCACCAUCUUCUGCUGUGUUGUUGUGUGGAAACUUCUGGGGGACAGGGAGAAGAGGAGGCAGCAAGUGUCAGUGAGAUAGUCUUCCUCAGUCUUCUCUGUUUUGGAACAAACUUCUUCUCCUUGCAUGAGUUCUGUGUCACACUCAUGAUAAAGAGCUGCUCACCUGCUUUAAAAUGUUUAUAUGCAAUUCAGCAAACCGGGUUUACUACAGAAACAGGAAUUAUUUCACGUGUAAUCAACCUCUCACUGCAUUCUUUUCACCAUGUUUAUGCCACUUUCAGAAGCACGUGGGGGUGAUACCGUCAUUAGCAAUAGUCCUUCACCAGAGCUCAUUUCCCUCCCUGGAAAAGCAUUCUGGAUAGUCCCAUCACUGCACAAAAAAGCAUCAAGCUUCUUGCUAGUGGUACUAUACCUACAUGGAGACUCUGUCGCUCUGGCUUUUGAUGGGACUUUGGCUUUCUAUAUACUGCACAACUGGUCCUGCUCCCGAGGGAAGCCUUUAUGCUUAGUCCCAUGGUGGCAGACCUGAGGCUGCUGUUCGUGUCUCUAUCUGCAAACAGCAGAUAGAUCAGAUGAGAUCAAGUAGACCAUAUUUCCAUGUUUCCUUGGUUAGCUUAUACUGUUAAAAGUGAGUUGUUGUUAGGAGGAAACAGAGCAUGUAAUAACUAGAGUUGGGUUUUGUUUGGCUUUGAGUCAUAAAUCUGAAAGGAAAGGAAAGGAAAGAGCCAUCACGUUCAUCCCCAAGUUUGUCAUACAAUCAGCAAGGGGCAAGGCAGUAGUAUGGGCAAGAAAAUGAAACAUGUGAAGGUACAAGUGCCAGCGGGGGGAAGUCACUGUUGCUUAUUGUCAGUUUUGGUGUGACACAGAAAGUUCAGCUAAUCCUCUUAGUUACAGAGACACACGGGUGGGGGGAGAUUGUUAUCUCAAGCAAUUUGCUGGCUCUACUCCUUUUUUCCUUCGAGUUUCUUUUCGCCUAAUUGAACAGCAUUUCUUCCUGGGACUGGUUUGCAAUAAUCCUGGGGCCUCAUCAGGGAGAGCACUAAAAAAAACAGGGAAAGGAGAAGCAGCCUGAGCAAGGCAGCCACCACCACAAGCUUCUCUCUUCAGAGAGGUAUCAGAUUUGAUUCCAAGAGGUGAGGGUUAGAAAUAAAAUAACAAUUCAAAGUGGUAAUGAGCACAUGUGCCACAGUGAUCGCUCAGAAAGGUGUGUCUGGGAUGGGUCAUUAACAGCUGCCCAGACACUGGGGAACUGGGGGUUCUGAGGUAGAGCAAGGCAAAGGCUGCACUGGCGCCCAUCAGAAACACAUGGAUUCCACUUGCAUUGCCAAAGGGAAGUGAGCGUGGUAAAUCUAAUCGACAGUCAAAAGGUGAAGCAGAAAAUAAUAACAAGGGAGGUUUGUUUUUAUUUAUUGAAGAGAUAAGGAUUCAACUACAGGCGUUGAAAGAGAAAAGCCACCUUGUUCUGAGGAGUCAAUUAUUCCACCCACUCUUGCUCAUCAUCAAGGUUUUAGUACUAUAUUACUAAGGGUAUUUAAAAAUUUCUGAGCCUCAGGGUUGGUAAUGUUUGUGCAAGUACUCUGCCAGUUGCCACAGGUGUCAUUUUACAAAAGAUCUGGAUAAUUACAUGGUAUCUUCCUGAAGAUGGCAGCAGCCAGGGGCGGUUCUUCAGCAGAUGCGGUUCCUGAUCCUGGAGCAGGGUGGGUGUUACCAGCAGGUGACCACGUUUGGAAAGCAUUCCAUGUGCAGACAGAGCCGAAGCCCCCUAUCAUUUCCUGAAGGCUCGAGACUGCUUCCAGCACUGUGAUACUGCAUCCCAGGGAAGUGAGGCUCUGGUUCCCAAGCCUUCAUGAUUCACCCUGGAGAAGCUGAAGUUAUUAAGGUGAGAGGUAGUCAACCCAAAGAAGAGCUGGCUUGGCAAACAACUUGUUCACUGCUAACUGUAUCAGCUCAUAGCCUAAUGCACCGAUACCAAUUUACUCCAGUAUCCUGAACUGAGAAUGGCAGAAAUUAGUGACUCAAGCGAGGAUCGUAUCAAUGCAUUUCACUGUGGUCGUUAAAGAAUUCAUUGCCCCCCAAGUUGAGGAGAUGGAGUACCUUUUCAGUUAGGGCAGCUAAAUCCAACAGAGACUAAGUCAGAACAGUCAGACAAGAGAGAAGGGGCCAUAGCAGAUAGCACUAACAAAGCAAUUGUAAAAUAAGUAGUAUAGCGCUUCUAAGAGAAAAAAUAUUCCUCCGAUGUCAUACCAGCAUGGGUCAAGGAAAUGGCAAGUUUGAUACAUGCUUCACACCUGGACCUCCUUUUUGAUUGAGUGUGCAUUCUCCAGUCUUGCUCUAGCUCUGGCUGAUCUGUGGCCUUGGACCGCCUCUGGGCUCGCACAUUGGAGGGGUACCUGGUUCCUGUGACACACACACACAGUGCCUGAGCACUGCUUUCCAGACAAAGGAAACCUUGGAGUGGAUCAAACAGGAGUCAUGAUGCAUCACACCAGGGUUUUGACUCAUAUGCUUGGAGGAUGAGGGCCAGCUGCUUGUUUUUCUACCAUCAUGUCACUUUGGACAGAGCUUCUGAGACUCUGCCGGACACCUGCAUAAUGUCAAUGACUAUGUUUCUUUAUUUCAAGUAGAUAUUUUCACAGAGAUAUACUGUGGGAGUAAAUGCAUUUAGCAGUGUAAUUACCAGACACUGCAGAGGUGAGGCCAUGUUCAGCAGUUUUUGUUCAGUUCUUUUAUUUUUUUAAAGGUAUUGUUUGCUUAUACAGACCUUUAAAAUUUAUGAUUAUAUUGUGCAGAGGGACGGAGACAGAAAGACAGGGGCUUGCAUCUCUGCUACGUGUGACCAGUGUGAAGCAGCCCUUGGAUCAUGAGCGAGACAGGGAACACUGCGCUAUGACCUCUCUGGGCGGCUGCAGUGCUUCACAGAGCGCAAGGAGGGGCAAGGGAAGGGCAGAAAUUGCUGCAUUCAAGGACCAAUCUCUUCCUCAUGCAGGUCUACACAGCCAGCUAGUUGCAUGCAGGACUACACCGUGCUCUUUAACCCUAUCAGUGAGCAUUUCGUUUUCUAACACUGAAAAUGCUUGGACAAGUCAUACGUAUUUUAGCCACAUGGAUACGCUUUCUGAAUCCUGCUCUGUAGUAACAGACUGCAGUUCUGACACCGAUAUAGCAUUCACAGCUGUAGAGAGUGCAAAGCAUUUAUAAAUGUAAAAAAUAUACGCAUAGUGACUUCAAAAAAAGUGUUUAAUGAACACUAAUAAAUAUUAUAUGUUUCAAAUAUGUUAGAUUUAUGUUAAUCAUAAAAUGAACGUCUAAAGCCACUAGAAGAAAGAGACAGCAUUGCCAGGUGAAUAUCAUGAAUGAAAAAACAUUAACCACUGUGAACAAGACCAUCAUAUUUCCCAGUGGCAGCUCCCUGUCUUCCUCUAAUUCCCCCCUCCCUUUCCUCUCCCUCCUCAGACACAUACGCAUACACUAUGGGAGGAAUGACAGCUGUUCUUCAUGGAAUGACAGCCCAGGGAUAUUGCAUCCUCCCUUAAAAAAAAACAGGCAAGGUACAGAAUAAGGUCAGUGAAGGGAGACAAAGGGGUCUCCCAGAGAUGGCAAAGGGUAAUUUAUUGACAGAUGAGAUAGACAUUACUACAGAAAAAUAUUAAAUGGAUUCUUUUCUUCUUUUCCCCCAUCUUUGGAAAGAAAAAAAAAAAAUAAGUGGGAAGGGUUAGGAAGGACAGAUGCCAGAAAUAGAGAGAAAUUUCCCAGGAGGGGAAGGAGAAAUCCUGAAGGAAAUUAGGAUCGCAGCACAGAAAAAAAGGAAGCUGGAAAAAAAAAAAAAAAUAAAAGGACAUCUGAAGAGUAAGAAAUUCUGUAUGGAAACAACAAAAAAGGGCAGUGGAGAAGGAACACCACCACUAACAGCAGCACUGCUUCAAAAGCACUGUGAGAGAAGGAAGUGCUGGUAAAACAGAGCCUGAUUAAAAGCCAGUGUUUGAAAAGGGCUGUCGGGAAAUUGAAGAGCUGUGCACGCAGCCGACGUCAGCAGUGAGGAAGACUGCAGGAGCGCUAAUCAAAGUGAGGCUGAGGGAGCAUAUGGAGCACGGAGAUUUUAUUAAGGACAGUUGAGAACCAGGGUUCAUAUAAUGGGAGCAGCCAAGCUCAGGAGAUGGGAGGGAAGAAAAGGCCAGGUCUUCUGGUGCAAUAAACCGCCGUAGCACUGUCAACUUUGACAGUAUGCGAGUUUCCGCUGCAAGGAAAUGACCUGAGUGAAAGGCUUAAACAGUGGAUGUUAUUAACGUAGCUGUUCUGGCCUAGAGUAAUAGGUUUCCCUAAAUAAUUGUGCAGGAGAGGGCGGGAAAAAAUGCUGUGCAGGUGCGCUCUAGGCGGGGUUCUGUGAGUCCCUGCUGCCUUCAGCCAAGAUUGCAAGAUACCGACAGCAAGAUACUGAGGAUCUGAUUCUUAGAGCCUCUGACGUGAGCAGAGUUCGUGAUUUCCACCAGUCAGGGCCAGAUUAACACCAGAGGAGCAACCAAGGAAAGGUUUCACAGAGGGGAAAGCAACAGAAUAAAAUAAAUAUGUUGGAGGACAGACCUAAUUUACAAUCAAAAGCAGGGUUAGGUUUAAGCCAAACACCGUCUUAUCCUGAUCUUCUUGCAGGGAAUGUGUUUUUUAUGGUAUGUAACUCAGCCUGAGUGGUAGAUUAAGGGAGCAGAGAGAGCCUUUUUGUGUCCGCUGCAGCGUGCCACAUCUUUCUCAUCCUGUUCCUGCUGCACACCUUUUGGCAAAACACUUCUCUCACAGCAGGUCCUUGUCCUCAGAGCCCUCCCAUUCCAGCACCAUGACAUUACAAGACAAUCUCUCAUUAGGCCUAACCUCAGCAGAGACACAAAGAAGCACACGGUUCUGUCAGCCUACUACUUUCCAAACUUAAAGGUUGAAAAGUGGCAGAUUUAAUGCUAGAGUCUAAUUAUGAGCUGUGACUGCCACGCUUAUGGCUGAGGGCUGACUUUGGGCCCAUUUAUGGCCCAUCUACAUUGAGCUUUGGAACUCCAAAGGAUCAGGAGACUUUUAAAUCUCAGCAGAGAAGGACAAAGCAAAAAGAAAGGCUGAAUCUGUGCUAUGUUGUGCUGUUAAAAGCUAAGGAAAUGCUAAAUGUUAAAGAAGACCUGUGCUCAGCAGGUGAUUCUAGCCAAAUUGCUGCCAUGCUCUGGCAGCAAGCAAUCUGCCGUGCAGAGCCAGAGCCAUCUGACUGUUUGGGAAUCAUUUCACAAACAGAAAAACACAUGUAAAGGUGCCAGUUUUGCUAGGAAUGGAUGCCCCAUCCAGGGGACAGCCUGCACUUGGAUCUGAAAAUACCUGCAACACCAUAGCAUGACCCGGAGCCAAAAGAUAAUCCAGGCACCAAAUCAACGAGGUAACCCAAUGUACCCCACACCCACAUCACUGUGACGUGAUGUCAGAAAUGUGAUGUCACUGUGCUGCUGAGAGGCUGGAGAAUGCAAGCAGAGGGGAUGUCACCACUGCUUCUGGCAGCAGCCUGCAGUCAUCCCAAUUAAGUAGUAUACAUGAAGCUGCAACAAAGCAUUUUUUUCCAGCCUGUUCCCAGAGCCCUGAGCUUUACGUUAGGUUCUGACACCAACUCAAGACACAGCAUGUGAGUGCCCUUUUUCCCCUUGGUAUUCAGGCAUCUCAGAAGAUGGGAGAUGACGCUUUAACUUUCCAGGAGAAGAGCUAAGGAAUGUCCAGGUGUCAUGCAAGGAUUAUCUCUUUUCCAAGACAUUCAUGACUGAAGAAGAAACAAGGAGAAAGGUGACUGGGAAGAAUAAUAGGCAAGUUAGCCUCCAUUUCUAUGCACUUGAAGUAGCUGCAUUGCUGUCACCGUAGCAAAAGUGGAGUUAUAAAGGGGACUCAGUUGUGGACAGAGGGGAGAGAGUGCAGACAGUGUGAGGGGUUAUUUUAUUGUAUGUGGCUGUCAUCAGACCAAGCUGUGGACACAUGUAUGAGAUCAAGACAGUGAAAUAUUAUUCCUAUCACCCCAUCCAUACAAGGCAGUGGCACUGUGUUACAAGUUUAGAAGAAACGAGUCGUUUGAACUUGUAAAUGGCAGCUUAAAAGGGUAAUUGCUCUGUUGUGCUACAGACUGUAAGUAAAAGCCUCACCUGGGUAUCUACUCAUCAGAGAAAAUCUAGCAUGAGAAUUGGCUGGCACUAAACUGCUGCAUUUCUGGGAUCUUGUGUAUCCAGUGUGGGGGAGAUCUGUUAGCCAGCACUGAGAAAGCCUGGGCAUGGAUCACUUCAGGAAGCAGAAGAUGCAAAGCUCUGCCAGAGGUCUGCUGUUGGAAUUAUCCCAGCUGCCUCUCCAAUGAGCCGAUAGGAAAAAUAAUAUUACUCCCCACUGUUAAGGAUGCAUAUAGAAAAAAAAAAAACAGCUUAUAAGCUGAUCCACAGGAUUUAGAAAAGGAGAUACUUUCCAAGAGAGAGCUUUGUUUUCUGUUGUUUACAGUACAAUCUCAUAAGGGUGAUUCCUUUUUUGUUGUGAAGAAGAAAUAAGCUUGAAUGAGGUUCCACGUUGGUUUAGAUUAACUUAUUUAUAAUUCUAUUUUUUAUUUUAUUUUAUUUUAUCGGUUGGAGACCCUAGCCUAUCAGAUAAGAUCUUUGUUCUGCCUGGAAUAUAUGAGCAGCCAUCCCUGUUCAUACGACAGGGAUGAGGUUCUACAUACAGAGGAACACCUGGCUUUGGGUUCCCAAGUCAGGCAGAAAUAGAAGAAUAACCUGUUUUUAAUUCCUGUUUAAUGUCUAGUAGCUCCUGGUUACUCCAAUACUUCUUUCCAGAAAUGAGUAAUGAACUGAAGUGUAAGGAAAAGUUCCCUCAGGAUGAAACAGAAUAGUUUUCUCAAGACUACUCUAAUGCUUCUACAGCUGUAAAAAAUACAUAUUUUUAUACACAAACACAUGCAUAUAUAAGGGGAAGCAUUGUUGAACACUAGCUUCAACCAAGAGCUGAAUUUCCUAGUACGCUCCAGGCUGAAAUUUCUGAAAAGCCCAAAUGCUCACUUGCAAGCUAUCUGCACAGCCCAGGUCAGCAGGCAGCAAUUAGCUUCUCAGCCACUCACUCUUCUUUCCAUCUUCCUGAUGGAUAUUUCAUCUGAGUUUAUGCUCCCCUCCCUCGCCUUCUCUUCACCUCUCCGUCUCUCUUUCCAGUAAGGCUAUGAUCUGUCACAGCCUCUCAAUGGACAAGACCUAUACAUCCCAUCACAACACUGUCAUAGGCAGCUGCAUUAGACAGGCCAGGAUGAAAAGCAGUUUGGAAGGGAGAGAAGCCGUCAUGCUUCAGGGAAGAAACUUGAACUCAAGCCAAGGCAGAAAGAUGAAGGAGGACUUUGGGCCAGACAGGGAGAAAAAUUCGACUCAGGGCAGGUUAUCCCAUAAUUGCCCACUUAGGCUUUCUUUAGACCUUCUAAGAUGCAUCUUCUUCUGGCCAACAUCAGAGAGAAAAGGGGUGGAUCACUGGCCUGAUCUAGCAGGGGGAUGAGCUUCUUCAUUCUUUCUGCCAGUGUGCUGGGUUUAUAACAUUUUCUGAAACCACAAUGAGAUCCCUUUUCCAAGCAUGACCCUUGCUCUGCCAGUGAUAGCCAAAAUUCCUUCCCCUCUCCCCGUCCUUCACACUUCCACAGGCAAUACAGAGAGAAGCCAGUACAAAGCCAGGUCAAGAUGAUAAGAACAAAGCCUUGAAGACUGCUCUUAGAUACCAGCUUUACUUCAGCUGAAGGGGGAAUUUUCAAAGAGGUGAACUCUUUCUGUCUCUCUCUCAGGCAGGAGUCUCCUGGGAGGAGAAGAAAACAGCUUUCAUUUUAGCGAGUCAUGAUAUUUAUGGCCCUUUUAUGAGUUUUGUUUGAAAAUAUAAAAGUGGACGGACUCAAAUCUGUUUCAAAAGAGAGGAGAUGGGAAGGGGAGAGACAGAGCAUAUGAAGGGCAGGUGGGUCUGAAUCAUCUGCCCACAUUCAAAAGAAAAUCAAAUACCUUCUUUGUUUUAAUAUGGACCCCUUCUGUCGGUCAUGAGGAUAAUGUCUGACCUUUCCUUGCAUAGGCCCUUUUAUCCCUAAUGACUUACAAAUUUGAUAUGUCUACUACCACCAAGAACACUCACUUUGGGAUGAAUCGAGACAACUAUUCAAUUAUGCAACUGCAGCACCAUGCAACGGGUCAGUUCUGAUUGCUCCCAAGAAGCAGACUUUCAGAUCUCGUCUCCUGCAGAAGUGAAAGCUUUAUACUGCAUUCCUGAGGGGCGACUGUCAGCUUCUGCUUGCUCACAUACCUGAGUUUCAUGUGGGCUUUCAUCCAUCCUAUUUUGGUGUCUGUUCAGCAACUGAGGUUGCACCCUCUUGAGGGCCUCCUGCUUUUCAUAUGUGGAAUCUCCUCUGACCCUUUGCCUCCAGGCAGUACUUCUGAUUCAAUUCACAGAAUAAGCAGCACAUGCCUUGCAAAAUUAUCGAGGGAGGGAAGGUUAAGUUGAAGAACUGGAUUUUGCAUUUAAUUUUGGAGGUACUUAGGCCUGUGGUCAUUUUACCUGCCCUGUGCAUGAACCUUCAUAGGUUAUGGCAGUGACUGAGAAAUUUCUAUGGGCAUGAUGUAUAAAGCUUCCCAUUAAUUGGCAGUUUCAUAAAGGAUAUUGUGGUAUCAUAAAGCUCUCCUCUCCAACAAGGAGCCAGAGAUGAUCUACCAGAUCAGCAAAAGGCCUUGGACCAGAUCUGCAUUCAAUACAGUCAUUACAAAGAUCAGAUUGCUAAGAUGAUCCAUGAAGAUGUGUGAAGUCAUAUGAUCUUAAACAUCAACUGAUGUGUGCUAUAUCUUUCUUUAAUACUGUGUCCUGCAAUAAUCAAAUGUAGAGAUCAGAAACAGCUUGGCCUUUGAAAUUAGAUAUGUCUCUGGCAGUAUGUGACCUGAAGCAUACAGCUAUCUGGUCAAUUGUAAACAGUUAUCAUCACAAUAGUCGUUUUCUAAUGUCACUCAGAAAACCAAAAAGACUAUAGGACCAUAGCUUUGGCUAACAGAUGCCGCUGGUAGUCGGGUGAUGCCAUAAAAAUGAUCAGUUCCUUUAAAGAUUUGUGUCUUCUACCUAACAUCUCCUAUGUCUUGGUUCAAUUUUAUGCCUAUGUACAUGCCCUUCUGAAUGGAUUUGUUCUUCCUUCCGUGGCUGCUUGUUCAGAGUCCUUGGUAAGUUUGAAUCAGGUUUCAAGAUUUAUUGAUCUGGCCUUGUCCAUUUUGUGGUGUGUUCUUUGAUUUAAUUUAAUGACCGUAAAGCAUUCAGGCAUGUUGGCAUGAAGGGUGCACUGGAAAACACUAAGUGAUUGAUUGAUUGAUUAUGGAGAGACAUUGUUCUCUCCACAGUUAACAAUGAAGCUAGUUUCCCAUUACACUCAUCUCUGUCUUCCAGGACACCCAUGCCGUAACUAAAAGUUAACCACACUGUCUAAAAUUUCCCAGGUUUGAAUCUGCUGUGGGAGCAGUUACAUUUUUUGCACAUGGAUUAGGUUUAUCUAUUUUAAAGAUAACAGAUAUCCUUGAAACACAAUAUAUAGGGGAAGGCUCAAAGCAUGGACUAUCCCUUCUCCUGCUCUCUGAUUUUUGCACCACCACAUCUGGAUGGCUUGACACAGACAUUCCAACAUUUACUUUAACUGUUGGUCUUGGGGAGGAAUGAAACCAUAUUGUUGCCUGCUCUUAUGACUCAUAAAUGAUGCAUUCAGUUUGUGUCUGUGUAUGUAUGUGUGCAUGUGUGGGAGUAGGUGCAAGUGCACCCUCUGGUAGGGGAACAGCAGUCGCAGAAAAACACUGAGCUCAGAAGAUACUGAACAACUGUAACAGAGGGAUAAAAGGAAGUAACAUGAAAUCAGCUCCUGAAUAAAAUAUAAUGUACUGAAAAGCAAAAGGCAGUCCAGAAGAAAAAAAAAAGAUACAAUUCUUCCAUAUCCAAAAAAUGUAUGUUCAUAGGGUUAGCCAAAACGACAGAGCACUCAUUUAAAGGGAUUAUGCUGGUACCAGCAAUGUAAGCAGCCUAAUCCCACACCUCAACACAACCUAUUUUUAACCUCUAUCCACUUUUUACACAAAGAGCAAUAUAACAAAUCUUGUUGGCAUUUAACUGAUUACUCCCAGACAAAGAAGUGAACACCUUUCUGAAAAGACAGGGGCAAUUCACGCACCAUUUAGAGCGAUGAUCCCAUCUCUCUGGAGAACUGUUUAUUUGUUACACAUGGUUCACAUUUUUGAAAGUUCCUUCACAACUGAACAGGCAGAAAACUAACACAGUUUGGUUUUUCUGAAUGGCAAAUGAAAUUCCAUAAAGUGGGCAGGGAGCUCUCACAGACAUUUUGCUGGAGUGUAUGAGCAUGCAGUUUCUGUUUCCGAGCCCUAGACUGUAUUAAUCCCAUGCUUUCUGCAUCUCUGCUAGAUUGUCUAUAAAUUUAGGAAGGUUAUAUGGAUACUAUGUUUUCACGUUAUAAUGUAUAUAUCCAAUAUAUUUCAGCUAAACCUUUUAAGGAAAUGCAGACAAUGCAGCAUAACCAUCCCCAACUAAAACUUUUUGUCUCAUAAUUCAUCCAGCUCUCCACUACAACUAAUGUGUAAGCAUUUCUCAAGGAGCUGUAUAAAAACGAAAUUGUGCUAAAUGCCUUUUAAAAUUACCCAGUCUAAACUAGAGCCACAAGCAAUAAAACAAAUUGCCCUGAAAAUCCUAGGGGGGAGGGAGGGAAAUGGGUUAAAGCCCUGCCCUGCCAGUACAGCCAUGCAGAAUGCAGCCGAUACACUAGGAGUAACUAUUUCUGGCAAUGCUUCCACUUCCUUUCAAAUUUGCUUCUUGAAUUCCCAACCUAGCACAUUUUAUCACUGACGUCCCAUCAAUGUCUGUCACCAGAAUUUCUCCCAGUCCUCUUCAGAUUUCCCAGAAAUCCAUAAUUUCUGUAAAUCCCACCAUCCCCCUCCUUCCCACAUAGGUUGCCCCAUGGUCUUUCACCAAAACUGUUAUACAAGUAAACAGAUGAAUAUUUGGCUCAGACGAAUAUCAGCCUCUUUGGCUGCCAUAGAUAACCUUUUCAUCUGCUGUCGAUCUGUUCCUUAAUUUGCCUAUUGUCUUCACAUCUCUUUUUCAAUACUUCCUAUCUCCAAUCUCUCUAGCUUUCAUCGUUUUCUUACUUAUUUCACUCAGACCAUUAGAUGUGUUUCUCUGUCCUGUUAUCCCUCCUUUACUUCAUUGUUUCCCACAUAACCUGGGUCUCUACAUUUUUUUCAAAGGGCAUCAAGGAAACAAAGGUAGUAGAAAUGAGAGGCCAGCUGUGAAAAAAAAAACACAGGACUUAAUGAGACUGAAACACUGAAACACUGUAGAUGAAGUCCAAGGUUAAUAAAUGUAAAGCAUUGCACAUAGGAAAAUGUAGCCUAUAAAGCGAUGAUCUCAGAGAUGACCACUGCCACCCAGCAGCACGAUUUUGUGGCUAUAAUAAAUAGUUCAAUGAAAAUGUCACCUUGGUGCUCAGCAACAGCCAAAAAAGCAUGCAAACUGUUACGAGAUGAUAGGGAAGGGACAGAGAGAAAAAUAAAGGAGACCAUUGUGCCACAGGAUAAAUCCCUGCUGCACCUGCACCGUGAAUACUGUGUGAGGACUUGGUCGCUCAUCUCAAACAUGAUAAAGUAGAACUGCGAAGGGUUCAGAGAAGAGUGGUCAGAGUAAUCAGAGACAUGGACCAGCUCUCAAAGGAGGAAUGAGAAACUCCAUUAGGCUGCAAAACAGACAGCUAAGGUUGGACGUAAUGAUAGAAGUGGGUAAAAUCUUGUGGGUCAUGUGGAUUCCAGUCAGGAAUCUGUAUCUUGGCAUUGAAGUAGGCUGGUAAGGAGCAGGUUCAGAACAGAAACAGUGCGACGGUUUAGCAUUCAGUGCAUAGAAGUGUAAGAACUUCUUGCCAGAAGAGAUCAUAGAGGCUAACAGGUACAAGGCUAUAAUAUCUAUAACUCAGAAAUGAUUAGGCACCUCCAUGGAAGGAAAAUCUGUCAAGGGCUAUUAAAUACAAAAUACAAAAAUAUCACAUUUGGCUCAGGAAGUCCUUGAGUUGCAAAUGACUGGAAGCUGGGAGAUCAUCCUGGGGAAGAAUCACUUAUAUCACUGCUUUUAUAUUCUUCCCUAGGUAUUUACUGUUGGUCUCCAUCAGAGACAGGAUAUUGAGCCAGAUGGACCUUUGGUUUGACCUCAUAUAGCCUUUCUGAUGUUCUUAUGUUUAUAUUCUUAACUGACUGUAUGGAUGCUCUUUGCACUUUCACCUUCCACUAAACAAUGCCAAAGAAACCCCCUCACCUUCCUGGCUACAGCAGCAAAGUGAGGCUGAGAAAAACGUCAGCCCCAGUGCAUAUUUGCUGGAAAAUCCUUUCCAGAUAAAUUUGGAUACUUACCCACUCUUUUAGCCUAAUGUCAGACUAAGUGUCAUUGCUGAAAAAACAUUCUCUCUACGGCUCUAGUCACCCGAAACAAUUGGUGCAGACCUCUCCUCUUUCACUGAUUCUGUAUCGCCUUCUAAAAUCUAAUCUUAAAACCUGACUUUCUAGCCUCCCUUCAACCCCUUCAUUUCUGUCUCUCCUGGUUAUUGGUCUUAUGACUGAAUGCUUUAAUAUUUUCACCAUGCAAGGUCUUUAUGUCACUGUUUCAUGUAAUUUAUACUUGUGAGCUGGAGCCUUUCCCAACUCACUUUCAAGCACAGUCCAUACACUGAAUGGAGUCCAAAAUUAUCCCCACCCCCUUAUUGCUUUGGGGGUUUGGCUUUAUUAGCAAGGACAUAAGCAAUAAGAAAAUAAAGUUCAGCUGUUUCUAAGGCUUCUCCCUCAUGACUGCUCAGUCAGUAUCCUAGACGGCUUCUCCCCAGCAAGCCAUUUUUAUCUCUCUUUUAGACAAGGGAACUAAUAAGCCACCUACCUCAGUGAGUCAGCAGAACCCACUUAACCCUUUCCCAGAAGGGUCAAAACUCGCUAUCAGGAUGGUUUGGCUCAGGCUGGUUACAGAACCAUAUUCUGCCCCUCGGUCUUGAAUAAUUUAUUUGUGCGGCAGACCUGGAUUACUGUUUAAAUCAAAAUGCUACCCAAACAAAGGCUGUGCUGUGCAGUGCAAAAUGAAACCAAUUACUACAUCGUAUGAUGCUCAUCUUUUACAGUGUGAGAUGCCCCCUACAGUACCUACAGAGGACAGGCAUUUAUGUCGAGAGCAGCAGCAGCCUUAGGAAGCAGGAGAGAUUUUCAGAGGGAACAGCCUUUGUAAAAGAGCAGAUUCACUGCCAGAAGGUGUUAUGCACUUUCACUUUGAUCCAUCAAAACUGAAGUAACCACUUACUGUUGUAAGGAGACAGAGGACGAAUCCGGUGCUCAUGCUUGAGAUCUUUUUUAAAUUGAAAUUACAGUAAGCUCCAAUUAAGCAUAAGCAUCACAUUGUUUCGCACAGAGCAACUUUAGCAGAGGUGAAGAAUAGCAGAAAAUACCUAUUUUAUCACACUGCAGAAAUUCAAUGUAAAAUCUCCAAAUGUGGAUCAAAGCCUGAAAUGCCAUCACUUUAAAGAAAAACCUCAGAGAACUAUGCAGAAGUAAGGGAUGCACUGUAUUGUACUGUGAACAUUGAAUUUCUGCAGUGUGAUAAAAUAGGUAUUAUAUUGCAGUAGCAGUGCACUAAAAGCCUUGCAGUACCUCUGGAUGCCUGGAACAUUAACAAGACAAUGUUUCUUGUGUACUUCAAAAAUGAAAUCUGUGCUUACUCAUAAAAAAAAAGACACAAGUAAAAUACAUUCUUCUUCUUAUUUUUCUAGCCCUGUUAUUGUUCAAUCACCUGAUUUUGAGACUCCAUUCACCUGACAAUAAGCAGUUAUCAUUUGCCCUGGUCCUGGCUGUCAGAAAGAGUCAUCUUUAUCUUCAAAGAAGCAGGGAUAAUGUCUAAUCAGUGAGUUAGAGUCAAGAGCACAUAUCUGCUGUUUUGCAGGGCACACCAAAUCUGUUACAGGUAGAUUGGCUAGAGGCCAGAGCCAGAAUAAAUCUCAGAAUAGAAGGACCAAGCAACUAGAAGAAGAGAGCUGAUUUUGACUCCAGUAAGCUGACAUAGGUACUUACUCCAAAGUUUGGGACCCACUAUUCUUUAAACAGUGAGAGCCAGAAUGAUUUGCUGUAUUUCACAGUGUUUACACAAUAACCAUAUCUUGCAAAAAAAACUAAGCUUUGGCACAAAAAGAUUGUUUUUUAAAUACAGUUUUACAGCAAAUUAAAGUUAAAUAAAAGCUUGUGAAUACAAAGAGAAUAAAUGAGGCUUUCCUAGCCUGCAAACAACUGACAUUAUUGUUCCCUGAUGUGUGAUAAACUCCAAUUUAUCAACGUGCUCUUUGCACUGAAGCUUAAUGAAGCCAGUUUAAACACCUCCUGCCUGACUGUUGAUGUGUUACCAUAGGCAUUUUCUUAA